UACGUAGGGUGCGAGCGUUGUCCGGAAUUAUUGGGCGUAAAGAGCUCGUAGGCGGUCUGUCGCGUCGAUCGUGAAAACUUGGGGCUUAACCCUGAGCUUGCGGUCGAUACGGGCAUGACUGGAGUUCGGCAGGGGAGACUGGAAUUCCUGGUGUAGCGGUGAAAUGCGCAGAUAUCAGGAGGAACACCGGUGGCGAAGGCGGCAUCCUGGACCGACACUGACGCUGAGGCGCGAAAGCUAGGGGAGCAAACGGG
RNAcentral lists this ribosomal RNA (254 nucleotides) under uncultured bacterium. RNAcentral describes it as "partial 16S ribosomal RNA". It matches the Rfam family "Bacterial small subunit ribosomal RNA", at positions 524 to 776 of the family's 1533-position model. The record is from RNAcentral.